AACCUAUUAGCUCAAAUGGUAGAACACUACGCAAAUGCAUAGGGGAUGUAGGUUCGAUUCCUACAUAGGUUG
Spinacia oleracea (spinach) is the source of this 72-nucleotide non-coding RNA. Lineage: Eukaryota; Viridiplantae; Streptophyta; Magnoliopsida; Caryophyllales; Amaranthaceae. The record is from Rfam.